RNAcentral lists this transfer RNA (74 nucleotides) under archaeon. RNAcentral's name for it is "tRNA-Thr". It matches the Rfam family "tRNA". From Rfam's summary of the family: Transfer RNA (tRNA) molecules are approximately 80 nucleotides in length. Their secondary structure includes four short double-helical elements and three loops (D, anti-codon, and T loops). Further hydrogen bonds mediate the characteristic L-shaped molecular structure. tRNAs have two regions of fundamental functional importance: the anti-codon, which is responsible for specific mRNA codon recognition, and the 3' end, to which the tRNAs corresponding amino acid is attached (by aminoacyl-tRNA synthetases). tRNAs cope with the degeneracy of the genetic code in two manners: having more than one tRNA (with a specific anti-codon) for a particular amino acid; and 'wobble' base-pairing, i.e. permitting non-standard base-pairing at the 3rd anti-codon position. The record is from RNAcentral.
GCCGCAGUAGCUCAGUUGGUAAGAGUGCGUCCUUGGUAAGGACGAGGUCCCGAGUUCAACUCUCGGCUGUGGCA